GCGAGAGUUGUCGAGCCCGGUCAAAGGCGCAGACUUAAGAUCUGGUAUCGAAGGAUUUCGUGGGUUCGAAUCGCACCUUUCACA
RNAcentral lists this transfer RNA (84 nucleotides) under Methanosarcina sp. 1.H.T.1A.1. RNAcentral's name for it is "tRNA-Leu". Lineage: Archaea; Methanobacteriati; Methanobacteriota; Methanomicrobia; Methanosarcinales; Methanosarcinaceae. The record is from RNAcentral.